AGCUUUGCACACUGGCAGUAUCAUAGCCAAUGAGGUUUAUCUGAGGCACAAUUAUUGCUAAUUGAAAACAUUUCCCAAUACCCUGCCAUGAAGACUUGCAAUAUAAUUGACAUUAGCAAUUUUUGACAGUCUCUAUGGUGA
Molecule: small nuclear RNA, 141 nt
Filed under: Aotus nancymaae (Ma's night monkey)
Lineage: Eukaryota; Metazoa; Chordata; Mammalia; Primates; Aotidae
Description: U4 spliceosomal RNA (ENSANAG00000003849.1)
Rfam family: U4 spliceosomal RNA
About the family: U4 small nuclear RNA (U4 snRNA) is a component of the major U2-dependent spliceosome. The structure of U4 snRNA from yeast and human has been reported. U4 snRNA presents a k-turn RNA motif in the 5p-SL related to recognition of Snu13 protein.
Source: Rfam by way of RNAcentral